AAUACGGAGGGUGCAAGCGUUAAUCGGAAUUACUGGGCGUAAAGCGCGCGUAGGCGGUUUUUUAAGUCGGAUGUGAAAGCCCCGGGCUCAACCUGGGAACUGCAUCCGAUACUGGAUGACUAGAAUGCGGGAGAGGGAGGUAGAAUUCCAUGUGUAGCAGUGAAAUGCGUAGAUAUAUGGAGGAAUACCAGUGGCGAAGGCGGCCUCCUGGCUCGACAUUGACGCUGAGGUGCGAAAGCGUGGGGAGCAAACGGGAUUAGAUACCCCGGUAGUCCACGCCGUAAACGAUGUCUACUAGCUGUAGGGGUACUUGAGACCUUUGUAGCGCAGCUAACGCAAUAAGUAGACCGCCUGGGGAGUACGGCCGCAAGGUUAAAACUCAAAUGAAUUGACGGGGGCCCGCACAAGCAGUGGAGCAUGUGGUUUAAUUCGAUGCAACGCGAAGAACCUUACAGGCCUUGACAUCCCCGGAACUUUCUAGAGAUAGAUUGGUGCCUUCGGGAACCGGGUGACAGGUGCUGCAUGGCUGUCGUCAGCUCGUGUCGUGAGAUGUUGGGUUAAGUCCCGUAACGAGCGCAACCCUUGUCCUUAGUUGCCAGCACAUUAUGGUGGGAACUCUAAGGAGACUGCCGGUGACAAACCGGAGGAAGGUGGGGACGACGUCAAGUCAUCAUGGCCCUUACGGCCUGGGCUACACACGUGCUACAAUGGCUAGGACAGACGGCCGCAAACCAGCGAUGGGGAGCUAAUCCGACAAACCUAGUCGUAGUCCGGAUUGGAGUCUGCAACUCGACUCCAUGAAGUCGGAAUUGCUAGUAAUCGCGAAUCAGAAUGUCGCGGUGAAUACGUUCCCGGGCCUUGUACACACCGCCCGUCACACCAUGGGAGUGGGUUGCUCCAGAAGUGGUUAGUCUAACCUUCGGGAGGACGAUCACCACGGAGUGAUUCAU
This 950-nucleotide ribosomal RNA is filed under the name uncultured bacterium. RNAcentral's name for it is "bacterial SSU rRNA". It matches the Rfam family "Bacterial small subunit ribosomal RNA", at positions 522 to 1472 of the family's 1533-position model. The record is from RNAcentral.